RNAcentral lists this ribosomal RNA (936 nucleotides) under Microbacterium sp. Its description in RNAcentral is "bacterial SSU rRNA". It matches the Rfam family "Bacterial small subunit ribosomal RNA", at positions 84 to 1033 of the family's 1533-position model. The record is from RNAcentral. Lineage: Bacteria; Bacillati; Actinomycetota; Actinomycetes; Micrococcales; Microbacteriaceae.
UUUCUGGAUCAGUGGCGAACGGGUGAGUAACACGUGAGCAAUCUGCCCCUGACUCUGGGAUAACAGUUGGAAACAGCUGCUAAUACUGGAUACGAACUGCGAUCGCAUGGUCGGCAGUUGGAAAGAAUUUCGGUCAGGGAUGAGCUCGCGGCCUAUCAGCUUGUUGGUGAGGUAAUGGCUCACCAAGGCGUCGACGGGUAGCCGGCCUGAGAGGGUGACCGGCCACACUGGGACUGAGACACGGCCCAGACUCCUACGGGAGGCAGCAGUGGGGAAUAUUGCACAAUGGGCGGAAGCCUGAUGCAGCAACGCCGCGUGAGGGAUGACGGCCUUCGGGUUGUAAACCUCUUUUAGCAGGGAAGAAGCGAAAGUGACGGUACCUGCAGAAAAAGCGCCGGCUAACUACGUGCCAGCAGCCGCGGUAAUACGUAGGGCGCAAGCGUUAUCCGGAAUUAUUGGGCGUAAAGAGCUCGUAGGCGGUUUGUCGCGUCUGCUGUGAAAUCCCGAGGCUCAACCUCGGGCCUGCAGUGGGUACGGGCAGACUAGAGUGCGGUAGGGGAGAUUGGAAUUCCUGGUGUAGCGGUGGAAUGCGCAGAUAUCAGGAGGAACACCGAUGGCGAAGGCAGAUCUCUGGGCCGUAACUGACGCUGAGGAGCGAAAGGGUGGGGAGCAAACAGGCUUAGAUACCCUGGUAGUCCACCCCGUAAACGUUGGGAACUAGUUGUGGGGUCCAUUCCACGGAUUCCGUGACGCAGCUAACGCAUUAAGUUCCCCGCCUGGGGAGUACGGCCGCAAGGCUAAAACUCAAAGGAAUUGACGGGGACCCGCACAAGCGGCGGAGCAUGCGGAUUAAUUCGAUGCAACGCGAAGAACCUUACCAAGGCUUGACAUAUUCGAGAACGCCGUAAAAAUACGGAACUCUUUGGACACUCGUUU